UUCUCUCUGUGUUCAGUCGAAAGGCAGAAAGAGAAAAGAAUGUAAGAAAAAGCUUUAGGUGUAGAGGCACAACACACAGAGUUCAGUCACUAACAGCACUAACAGCAUGCACCAAAGGGGCUCAAGAAGUCGAGAGGAGGACAGAACACCAAAACCAAGCUUUAUAAAAAGGCAGAUUCCGUGGGGUACUGAAUACUCAAGAGUUUUGUUCAACUAUGCGUUCAGAUUUACCUGUCCCUGGCUAAAAACUGACUUCAGUAUUAUUUCUUAAUGGGAUUUCUUUGAACUUUCUUCUUCAGCAGAUUGGAAAAGUAAAAAUAAAUGUCAUUUUUACAGGCAAAAAGCUAUGCGGGACGAGGUUCCCUGCCUCUGGAAGAAGCUCUGGAGAGCCACCAGCCCCGGCCUAAUGAGUGAGCGCGAGAGAAGCCGGGAACUGCUGCAGGGUGACAACUUCACUUCCAGGGGAGCCCAUUUUGAUCUGUCUGCCACGACUCUCCAGCGUCUCGGACAUUCUGUGCUGGAGCACAGGGCUAGACCUGGUGUGACCCUUCAGGUACUGGAUGGGGCUGCUGCUGCUGCUGGACCAGGCCUCGUGCUCAUGGAGCAGGCUAAACUCCCCACUGCUGUGGCUCUGGGGCCUGCUCUGGCUGUUCACUGCACCUGCUUUGGGGAAUAUGGCAUUAGGUAUUUCCAUUAGAAAUAUACAGGAAAGCUGUAAACCUGUAUAACCUUUUCAAAUCUAGAAUGUCACCAGAUUCACUUAACACUCAUUCUAUUUAAAAUACUAAAGAAAAAAAAAAAUCCCUCUCCUGACUUACCUUUUGCAGCUCUUCUAACAUGACACAUUUUUUUU
Malurus melanocephalus (red-backed fairy wren) is the source of this 853-nucleotide long non-coding RNA. RefSeq lists it as uncharacterized. Lineage: Eukaryota; Metazoa; Chordata; Aves; Passeriformes; Maluridae. The record is from RefSeq and is a predicted model, not a curated record. The transcript has 2 exons.